RNAcentral lists this long non-coding RNA (572 nucleotides) under Struthio camelus australis. RNAcentral describes it as "lncRNA (ENSSCUG00000013416.1)". The record is from RNAcentral. Lineage: Eukaryota; Metazoa; Chordata; Aves; Struthioniformes; Struthionidae.
CCUUAGGGCAGGGCUGCUCUGCCGGCUGUUUUCAUAAUAACUAAGUUGCCUGACUGAGUUAGGACUGAGCAAGGAAGAGAGGGAGAGAAAAAACCAGCUGAAGUGGCCAGCUGAAAAAGACAGGAGAAAGCAGCAGAGGAAGAUGUUUUUGUAACCAAGCUCUCCCUUGGGGCUACUCACGUAAAAGUGUUUCCUUCAGUUCUGCAAAACGGCGUCUAUCUUUUUUGGACUGACGUUUCUGCUGAUUUCAAGAGCAGAACAGUGUCCGCACUGAAAUAACAGACUCCUUGGACAAGAUUGUUCGUUGCUGCAUGUUGACUCUGCAGCGUUGAAACCCAGGACACAUGAAAUCUGAAUCCAGCAGGUCUAGGAAUUGAGAAGGCUUUCAAAGAUGCAUGCCUCUCCUUUUUGCAAGGGGAGAAACUGUCAUCCUCUCCGAAAACAUCAAAUGAGAGAAGAGUGCCUAAGGAGAUGAGAAGACAAAAACAUCCUGACCAUGAAAAGAAAUCAGAUAAAGACCUCGAUAGAAUAGAAUAGAAUCUAUUUGGACUUGGAUUGAUAUAGGAAUGAGA